UGAUCCAGAAGGUUAUUGAUAUAUGUUCUGAAAAUCAGCGAGCAAUCUUGCUUUUCUCACAUCAGAGUUCAUGCUCAUGCUUUGAAGAAAUACACUUAUGGAAAACACAUUGUGGCUCGGUUAGAACAACAAUUUGGAGAGAAUCAAACCCCCAGAUCAGGAUGACUAUA
Non-coding RNA from Arachis ipaensis, 170 nucleotides. The record is from RefSeq and is a predicted model, not a curated record. NCBI's taxonomy places the organism in Eukaryota, Viridiplantae, Streptophyta, Magnoliopsida, Fabales, Fabaceae.